Alligator sinensis (Chinese alligator) is the source of this 790-nucleotide long non-coding RNA. RefSeq lists it as uncharacterized. The record is from RefSeq and is a predicted model, not a curated record. NCBI's taxonomy places the organism in Eukaryota, Metazoa, Chordata, Crocodylia, Alligatoridae. The transcript is spliced from 4 exons.
GGAAAACACUGGAGUCCCUCAACUAGCUGAGUAGAAACUGCAUUAUCAGAUUUAAGAUGUAUAGAAUAGAAGAGGAUCCCUAUAGUGAAGAGAAUGAAGUUGCCUCUUGAAAAUACCGGUAAAGCCAAUGGCAAUUUCAGGAGUUGGAAGGCCUGCAUAAGAAACAGGGAAUAUCUGAAGAGAAAAGAUGAUCUCAUGGUUAAAGCAGCUCAACGUAAGUGCUUGCCCUUUGUGUUCUGUAUGGGUGAGAGUGUGUCUGUGGAAAAGGAAAACAUCAGCUGGUGACUGGCUGAAGAAUGCAGACAGAAAAAAGACCAAACAAGAAGAAUCUGCCCCAGAACAGAGAAAGAACAAGGUCAAUUAACCUUCAAGGAAGAACAGUGAUAAGCCAGCAAGAGCCCAGAGUACUGGGUGAUUUGACAAGGCUAUAAAAGAUGGGGCAAGACAUUGAUUUUGGGUCUUGUUCUGCAUGUCAGCAUGGAGCAUCAGUUUGUCUGACGGGAUGGACUAGCAGGAGCCUGGCUCCUACUUGUGAUCAACUUGACUGGCCACUAAGUUGAUACGAGUACUGAUAAGACUGUUAACAUAUAACAGUGCAGAACAGAAAUUGGGGUAUGAAUCUUGGGUGUGUGUGUGAAUUAAGCACUUAGUCAGUAAACACAGAAGUUUGCCUUAUCCUCCCUCAUAAGGUCUCACUCGUGAUAUGAGCAAUUGGCAACUUGUGUAACACUAGGGAAUGUUGUCCACUAUUAGGCAGCCAAGUAGUGUAACUAUGAACCUGAUCUCAGUG